This 74-nucleotide transfer RNA is filed under the name Crella elegans. RNAcentral's name for it is "tRNA-His". It matches the Rfam family "tRNA". Rfam says of the family: Transfer RNA (tRNA) molecules are approximately 80 nucleotides in length. Their secondary structure includes four short double-helical elements and three loops (D, anti-codon, and T loops). The record is from RNAcentral. Lineage: Eukaryota; Metazoa; Porifera; Demospongiae; Poecilosclerida; Crellidae.
AGUGAAAAUAGCUUAAUAGGCAGAGCAAGAGUUUGUGGGGCUAAAGGUUAAGAGUUCAAGUCUCUUUUUUCACU